UGGGGAAUAUUGCACAAUGGGGGAAAGCCCUGAUGCAGCGACGCCGCGUGAAGGAAGAAGUAUCUCGGUAUGUAAACUUCUAUCAGCAGGGAAGAUAAUGACGGUACCUGACUAAGAAGCCCCGGCUAAUUACGUGCCAGCAGCCGCGGUAAUACGUAAGGGGCAAGCGUUAUCCGGAUUUACUGGGUGUAAAGGGAGCGUAGACGGAAUGGCAAGUCUGAUGUGAAAGGCAGGGGCUUAACCCCUGGACUGCAUUGGAAACUGUCAGUCUAGAGUGCCGGAGAGGUAAGCGGAAUUCCUAGUGUAGCGGUGAAAUGCGUAGAUAUUAGGAGGAACACCAGUGGCGAAGGCGGUCGCCUGGUCUGUAACUGACACUGAUGCACGAAAGCGUGGGGAGCAAACAGGAUUAGAUACCC
This 416-nucleotide ribosomal RNA is filed under the name uncultured bacterium. Its description in RNAcentral is "bacterial SSU rRNA". It matches the Rfam family "Bacterial small subunit ribosomal RNA", at positions 355 to 787 of the family's 1533-position model. The record is from RNAcentral.